This 253-nucleotide ribosomal RNA is filed under the name uncultured bacterium. RNAcentral's name for it is "partial 16S ribosomal RNA". It matches the Rfam family "Bacterial small subunit ribosomal RNA", at positions 524 to 776 of the family's 1533-position model. The record is from RNAcentral.
GACGAACCGAGCGAACGUUAUUCGGAAUCACUGGGCUUAAAGGGUGCGUAGGCGGGCCCGUCAGUCAGGGGUGAAAUCCCACGGCCCAACCGUGGAAGUGCCUCUGAUACUGCGGGCCUGGAGGGGGAUAGGGGCGUGCGGAACUUCCGGUGGAGCGGUGAAAUGCGUAGAUAUCGGAAGGAACACCGGUGGCGAAAGCGGCGCGCUGGAUCCCUACUGACGCUGAGGCACGAAAGCCAGGGGAGCAAACAGG